Molecule: ribosomal RNA, 433 nt
Filed under: uncultured bacterium
Lineage: Bacteria
Description: partial 16S ribosomal RNA
Rfam family: Bacterial small subunit ribosomal RNA
Source: RNAcentral
AACGAACGCUGGCGGCAUGCCUAACACAUGCAAGUCGAACGAGACCUUCGGGUCUAGUGGCGCACGGGUGCGUAACGCGUGGGGACCUGCCCUUAGGUUCGGAAUAACUCCCCGAAAGGGGUGCUAAUACCGGAUAAUGUCUUCGGACCAAAGAUUUAUUGCCUUUGGAUGGGCCCUCGUUGGAUUAGCUAGUUGGUAGGGUAAAAGCCGACCAAGGCGACGAUCCAUAGCUGGUCUGAGAGGAUGAUCAGCCACCCUGGGACUGAGACACGGCCCAGACUCCUACGGGAGGCAGCAGUGGGGAAUAUUGGACCAUGGGCGAAAGCCUGAUCCAGCAAUGCCGCGUGAGUGAUGAAUGCCUUAGGGUUGUAAAGCUCUUUUACCCGGGAUGAUAAUGACAGUACCGGGAGAAUAAGCUCCGGCUAACUCCGUG